Molecule: long non-coding RNA, 312 nt
Organism: Rhipicephalus microplus (southern cattle tick)
Lineage: Eukaryota; Metazoa; Arthropoda; Arachnida; Ixodida; Ixodidae
Source: RefSeq, a predicted model, not a curated record
AGCGGUUUUCUAGACGUGGGAACUCUUGAGUUUGACUGAAUUUUCGUGUUAUGCAUAGGAAGAGUCAUGUGGGCACAGCGUGGUGCCCGGCGGACGCCGGCUGCAUCUCACAACGAGCUCCGCCAAGUGCGCCACCAUGUUUGGGUGGUGUCGCCUGGCAACACGACGCUGCAGUUGCACCAACGGAGGAUUAUUUUGUUCUCUCGCGCGUUUACCACGCACUGAAAGUAUAAAGAAGACACUGACCUAAUGUAUUGUCUACUUCGAUGAAAUCGGUCUUACUAAAAAAAUAAGCACAAGUUCACUGCCCAA